RNAcentral lists this ribosomal RNA (468 nucleotides) under uncultured bacterium. Its description in RNAcentral is "partial 16S ribosomal RNA". It matches the Rfam family "Bacterial small subunit ribosomal RNA", at positions 28 to 507 of the family's 1533-position model. The record is from RNAcentral.
GAUGAACGCUGGCGCCGUGCUUAACACAUGCAAGUCGAACGGAAAGGCCCAAGCUUGCUUGGGUACUCGAGUGGCGAACGGGUGAGUAACACGUGGGUGAUCUGCCCUGCACUUCGGGAUAAGCCUGGGAAACUGGGUCUAAUACCGGAUAGGACGAUGGUUUGGAUGCCAUUGUGGAAAGUUUUUUCGGUGUGGGAUGAGCUCGCGGCCUAUCAGCUUGUUGGUGGGGUAAUGGCCUACCAAGGCGUCGACGGGUAGCCGGCCUGAGAGGGUGUACGGCCACAUUGGGACUGAGAUACGGCCCAGACUCCUACGGGAGGCAGCAGUGGGGAAUAUUGCACAAUGGGCGCAAGCCUGAUGCAGCGACGCCGCGUGGGGGAUGACGGCCUUCGGGUUGUAAACUCCUUUCGCUAGGGACGAAGCGUUUUUGUGACGGUACCUGGAGAAGAAGCACCGGCUAACUACGUG